RNAcentral lists this ribosomal RNA (497 nucleotides) under uncultured bacterium. Its description in RNAcentral is "partial 16S ribosomal RNA". It matches the Rfam family "Bacterial small subunit ribosomal RNA", at positions 28 to 507 of the family's 1533-position model. The record is from RNAcentral.
GAUGAACGCUGGCGGCGUGCCUAAUACAUGCAAGUCGAGCGAACAGACGAGGAGCUUGCUCCUCUGACGUUAGCGGCGGACGGGUGAGUAACACGUGGAUAACCUACCUAUAAGACUGGGAUAACUUCGGGAAACCGGAGCUAAUACCGGAUAAUAUAUUGAACCGCAUGGUUCAAUAGUGAAAGACGGUUUUGCUGUCACUUAUAGAUGGAUCCGCGCCGCAUUAGCUAGUUGGUAAGGUAACGGCUUACCAAGGCAACGAUGCGUAGCCGACCUGAGAGGGGGAUCGGCGACACUGGAACUGGGACACGGUCCAGACUCCUACGGGAGGCAGCAGUAGGGAAUCUUCCGCAAUGGGCGAAAGCCUGACGGAGCAACGCCGCGUGAGUGAUGAAGGUCUUCGGAUCGUAAAACUCUGUUAUUAGGGAAGAACAAAUGUGUAAGUAACUAUGCACGUCUUGACGGUACCUAAUCAGAAAGCCACGGCUAACUACGUG